RNAcentral lists this ribosomal RNA (485 nucleotides) under uncultured bacterium. RNAcentral's name for it is "bacterial SSU rRNA". It matches the Rfam family "Bacterial small subunit ribosomal RNA", at positions 29 to 496 of the family's 1533-position model. The record is from RNAcentral.
AAUGAACGCUGGCGGCGUGCUUAACACAUGCAAGUCGUGCGCGAAAGUGACUUCGGUCACUGGAGAGCGGCGAACGGGUGAGUAACACGUGGACAACCUGCCUGGAAGUGGGGGAUAACCUGGGGAAACUUGGGCUAAUACCGCAUACGUUCGUGGAGUCUCGGCUCUGCGAACAAAGAUGGCCUCUGCUUGCAAGCUAUCGCUACCAGAGGGGUCCGCGCCNGAUUAGCUAGUUGGUAGGGUAAUGGCCUACCAAGGCGACGAUCAGUAGCCGGCCUGAGAGGGUGAUCGGCCACACUGGAACUGAGACACGGUCCAGACUCCUACGGGAGCAGCAGUGGGAAUAUUGGACAAUGGCGCAAGCCUGAUCCAGCAACGCCGCGUGGAGGAUGAAGGUCUUCGGAUUGUAAACUCCUGUCAGGUGGGAAGAAUGACUGUCGGCAAAUAGUCGAUAGUUUUGACUGUACCAUCGGAGGAAGCCCGGC